RNAcentral lists this transfer RNA (64 nucleotides) under Desulfuromonadales bacterium. Its description in RNAcentral is "tRNA-Pro". Lineage: Bacteria; Pseudomonadati; Thermodesulfobacteriota; Desulfuromonadia; Desulfuromonadales. The record is from RNAcentral.
UAGCGCAGCCUGGCUAGCGCACCUGCUUUGGGAGCAGGGGGUCGCCGGUUCGACUACCGCGGCG